Molecule: ribosomal RNA, 460 nt
Filed under: uncultured bacterium
Lineage: Bacteria
Description: partial 16S ribosomal RNA
Rfam family: Bacterial small subunit ribosomal RNA
Source: RNAcentral
CCUACGGGAGGCAGCAGUGAGGAAUCUUGGUCAAUGGACGAGAGUCUGAACCAGCCAAGUAGCGUGAAGGAUGACUGCCCUAUGGGUUGUAAACUUCUUUUAUAUGGGAAUAAAAUCUUCCACGUGUGGGAUUUUGUAUGUACCAUAUGAAUAAGGAUCGGCUAACUCCGUGCCAGCAGCCGCGGUAAGACGGAGGAUCCGAGCGUUAUCCGGAUUUAUUGGGUUUGAAGGGAGCGUAGGUGGAUUGUUAAGUCAGUUGUGAAAGUUUGCGGCUCAACCGGAAAAUUGCAGUUGAAACUGGCAGUCUUGAGUACAGUAGAGGUGGGCGGAAUUCGUGGUGUAGCGGUGAAAUGCUUAGAUAUCACGAAGAACUCCGAUUGCGAAGGCAGUUCACUGGACUGCAACUGACACUGAGGCUCGAAAGUGUGGGUAUCAAACAGGAUUAGAUACCCCUGUAGUC